RNAcentral lists this long non-coding RNA (842 nucleotides) under Castor canadensis (American beaver). RNAcentral describes it as "lncRNA (ENSCCNG00000026871.1)". Lineage: Eukaryota; Metazoa; Chordata; Mammalia; Rodentia; Castoridae. The record is from RNAcentral.
GUUCACUAAAGAGUUAGGUUGAUGGCAAUAUUUUGUGAUUUCCAUAGUUUUGCCCUGGUGUUUGAGUAAUGCCCACAGCAGGCAGGCACUGGUCCCUACCCAAUGAAAAAGCCCAUCUCAGCUGGUCCCCUCUGCCCUGUGCCUGUGAUGCUCUUUCUGGAAGGUGACUUUAGGGCUGUAAUGGAUGGUAAAAUGUGAGAACUGGUAGCUGGCACCAGCAGGCAUGCCCGCCCCUCACCCCUACUGGUCAGACCCAGGAGAGGUGUCAGUCAGCUGUGAUUAAUGUAUUUGGUCUCAGGGUGUGAGCUUCCCGAAUUUAAUUUUGAGCCUUUAAGUUGUUAAUAUGUCUUUCCAGAAAAAUAUUUAUGAACUUUAACUUCAGUCUCUGAAUUAGAUGUGUCCUACUCUCUUUAAUCCUAGUAGUUAAAAAAAAAAAAUCCACUGGCUGAGGGCACCAGCGUGGUGGCACACGACUGUAAUCCCUGUACUCAGGAGCCUGAGAUAGGAGGAGCUCAAGCCCGAGGACACCCUGAACUACUUGGCUUUGCAACCAGCCUGGGUUGUGGGAGUGGAAACUGGCCGAGAUGAUUGAGAAUGAACACUGGGCAGUGAGGACCUUAAGCUUGAAGGUUUUUGGAACAUGAGCUGGACCUGAGAACUUCAAGAGUGUAUGUGUUCCAUCAGGAAGGAAUCCACCCAUGGAGCCUGGCUCACCUGGCCAUGUUAAUAGCUGUUCUCUUUAAUGCACCAAGAAGCAUUUGCAGACCAUGUGGCCUUGGCUCCUCUGGACAGCCUUUAGAGGAUGUAAAACCAGCUGAAAGACAAAGCAAGGCCUCCCUGCA